This 501-nucleotide ribosomal RNA is filed under the name uncultured bacterium. RNAcentral describes it as "partial 16S ribosomal RNA". It matches the Rfam family "Bacterial small subunit ribosomal RNA", at positions 28 to 522 of the family's 1533-position model. The record is from RNAcentral.
GAUGAACGCUAGCGGCAGGCCUAACACAUGCAAGUCGAGGGGCAGCACAGAAACAGCAAUGUUUUGGUGGCGACCGGCGGACGGGUGCGUAACGCGUAUGCAACCUACCUUUAACAGGGGGAUAACGGAGAGAAAUUUCCACUAAUACCCCAUAACAUCGAUCAAGGCAUCUUGAUUGGUUGAAAACUCCGGUGGUUAAAGAUGGGCAUGCGUUGUAAUAGGUAGUUGGUGAGGUAAUGGCUCACCAAGCCUACGAUACGUAGGGGGACUGAGAGGUUAGCCCCCCACACUGGUACUGAGACACGGACCAGACUCCUACGGGAGGCAGCAGUGAGGAAUAUUGGUCAAUGGGGGCAACCCUGAACCAGCCAUGCCGCGUGCAGGAAGACGGCUCUAUGAGUUGUAAACUGCUUUUAAACAGGGAUAAAGCACAGUAUGUAUACUGUGUUGAAGGUACUGUAAGAAUAAGGAUCGGCUAACUCCGUGCCAGCAGCCGCAGUA